RNAcentral lists this ribosomal RNA (960 nucleotides) under Tetraploa hainanensis. RNAcentral's name for it is "SSU rRNA". It matches the Rfam family "Eukaryotic small subunit ribosomal RNA", at positions 95 to 1060 of the family's 1831-position model. The record is from RNAcentral. Lineage: Eukaryota; Fungi; Ascomycota; Dothideomycetes; Pleosporales; Tetraplosphaeriaceae.
GGCUCAUUAAAUCAGUUAUCGUUUAUUUGAUAGUACCUACCCACUACAUGGAUAACCGUGGUAAUUCUAGAGCUAAUACAUGCUAAAAACCCCGACUUCGGGAGGGGUGUAUUUAUUAGAUAAAAAACCAAUGCCCCUCGGGGCUCCUUGGUGAUUCAUAAUAACUUAACGGAUCGCAUGGCCUUGCGCCGGCGACGGUUCAUUCAAAUUUCUGCCCUAUCAACUUUCGAUGGUAAGGUAUUGGCUUACCAUGGUUUCAACGGGUAACGGGGAAUUAGGGUUCGAUUCCGGAGAGGGAGCCUGAGAAACGGCUACCACAUCCAAGGAAGGCAGCAGGCGCGCAAAUUACCCAAUCCCGACGCGGGGAGGUAGUGACAAUAAAUACUGAUACAGGGCUCUUUUGGGUCUUGUAAUCGGAAUGAGUACAAUUUAAACCCCUUAACGAGGAACAAUUGGAGGGCAAGUCUGGUGCCAGCAGCCGCGGUAAUUCCAGCUCCAAUAGCGUAUAUUAAAGUUGUUGCAGUUAAAAAGCUCGUAGUUGAACCUUGGGCCUGGCUGGCCGGUCCGCCUCACCGCGUGUACUGGUCCGGCCGGGCCUUUCCUUCUGGAGAGCCGCAUGCCCUUCACUGGGUGUGUCGGGGAACCAGGACUUUUACUUUGAAAAAAUUAGAGUGUUCAAAGCAGGCCUUUGCUCGAAUACGUUAGCAUGGAAUAAUAGAAUAGGACGUGCGGUCCUAUUUUGUUGGUUUCUAGGACCGCCGUAAUGAUUAAUAGGGAUAGUCGGGGGCAUCAGUAUUCAAUUGUCAGAGGUGAAAUUCUUGGAUUUAUUGAAGACUAACUACUGCGAAAGCAUUUGCCAAGGAUGUUUUCAUUAAUCAGUGAACGAAAGUUAGGGGAUCGAAGACGAUCAGAUACCGUCGUAGUCUUAACCGUAAACUAUGCCGACUAGGGAUCGGGCGA